Dama dama (fallow deer) is the source of this 1400-nucleotide long non-coding RNA. RefSeq lists it as uncharacterized. The transcript has 3 exons. Lineage: Eukaryota; Metazoa; Chordata; Mammalia; Artiodactyla; Cervidae. The record is from RefSeq and is a predicted model, not a curated record.
UCCUGCUCCCCAGUACCCUGUCUCCUCCAGCAAGGAAGUAGCUAUCUGGGGCCGGGAAAUGAGAUAGCAGGACUGUCCCUUUGAGAUCAACUCAGCGCUCUGUGGCUCCCUGGACGAUGGUCCCGUGAGUCCAGCCCAUCCUCCGGCUCGGGAGCUGUCCUGCUCACAGCCAAGCUCCAGGAAGGAACCAGAGAUGAAGGGAGUCCUAUGGACACUGUGGAGCCUGAAGCCAGCAGCCACGAGACCAGUCCUGACAAGGACCAAGGAUUCCCACGUUCCUCUCUGCAGCCUCAAAAACAGCCCUUCCUCCACCACCCAAGGGAAGAAGUGGACAGAAAUGAGAAGGGGCGGACAGACUACAGUUUGUGCCAAAUGCUCUGCAGCAAGCUGGCCCCGCCAGGAAUAGGUCUCCAGUCCCAGCUGCCCUCAGAGUCUGUGCUUCCUGUUUUCACGGCCAGCUUCUGCACAGACAUUACCAACCAACAUUUAAAAACGGCUCCUCAGAUGGUCUAAAACACGCAAAGCUUGUUCUUUUAAUGACAAUGAGAAUUGAAUGAGUCCUGAACUCCACGCUGGGCAACAGGCCAAAUGCUUUACCUCCAGUAUCUCAUUCAGUCGCCAAGCCAGGGGAGGCGGUUUCUAUUAUUAGCCUAGUGUUACAGGUGACCAGACCCAAGCCCCAGGGUUAGUCACUUUCCCAAAGUCACCAGCUUCUGGAGUGAUUCAGCACCACCACUGUGGUGUUUCACUCAGUUCCUUGGCCUGAAACAUCCUUGCACAUUCUUCUUCUCUCUCUCUGCCUGGUGGUCUGGCCCCGGCAAAGGGCUCGACACCAAAACACAGUGUUCUCUCGCUGCUCUUGGCCACCAUCACCCUCACCGCCCAAGACUCGUUGUCCUGAGAAAGCCUGGUUGGGAUUCUUGGGGAGCCAAGUGUCCAGCACCCGGCCGGGCACUUCCCAGGCACCUAUGCAUGUCUAAUCGUGUAGUCUGUGUCAGAAGAGCAGGCUGUGCUCGUCAGAAGCCUGGUAGGACUCUGGCCAAGGGGUUGUUUGUGAUUUCAGGGCCGGGCAAGGAAAGUGCUGGGUGAGGGUUUUGGUUCCAAGUGGCCUCCUGCCGAGCAGUGAAUCAAGUGUCAGCACUCGCCCCGCCCCGGGCUUCCCUGUUUGUUUUCCCCAAACUUGUUUAUUUUGCCUCUACAGAUGAAAGCCAGAGAGUAUACAUGGCUACUAGUGGGCGCUGGGGGCAGAUUGUCCUGGUCCUUCCAGAGGCAGAGCAAGCAGGGCUAGUCCCUUUCUGCAGGGCUUUGAGCCGAAAGCUAAAAAUUCAUCACCUCUCAGGCCCGGGUGGUGAUGCCAGUCAGAGCACCAGCAGCCCUGAGCCAGGCAUCUGCCGUGAGGU